AGGACGAACGCUGGCGGCGUGCUUAACACAUGCAAGUGGAGCGACGAACCAGGCUUCGGCCUGGGGCAGAGCCGCGAACGGGUGAGUAACACGUGGGUAACCUGCCUCGAUGACCGGGACAACCCGAGGAAACCCGGGCUAAUACCGGAUGUGCUCCUUCACAUCAGUGAAGACAGGAAAGGAAGCUUCGGCCUCCGCAUCGAGAUGGGCCCGCGGCCCAUUAGCUUGUUGGUGAGGUAACGGCUCACCAAGGCUGCGAUGGGUAGCUGGUCUGAGAGGACGAUCAGCCACACUGGGACUGAGACACGGCCCAGACUCCUACGGGAGGCAGCAGUGGGGAAUCUUGCGCAAUGCGCGAAAGCGUGACGCAGCAACGCCGCGUGGGGGAAGACGGCUUUCGGUGUAAACCCUUUCAGAGGACGAAGCCAGAGCGGUUAAUAGCCGACUCGGUGACGGUACCUCAGAAGAAGCCCCGGCUAACGUACGUGCCAGCAGCCGCGGUAAC
RNAcentral lists this ribosomal RNA (505 nucleotides) under uncultured soil bacterium. RNAcentral's name for it is "bacterial SSU rRNA". It matches the Rfam family "Bacterial small subunit ribosomal RNA", at positions 26 to 524 of the family's 1533-position model. The record is from RNAcentral.